This 314-nucleotide long non-coding RNA is filed under the name Rosa chinensis. Its description in RNAcentral is "sRNA RchiOBHm_Chr1g0367361". Lineage: Eukaryota; Viridiplantae; Streptophyta; Magnoliopsida; Rosales; Rosaceae. The record is from RNAcentral.
CGUCGCUCCUCUGGCCUCUAUCGAGCGGCGACGGCGCGGCGCGGCUUGCCGGAGGGACUCCUGGGGUCGUGCGGAGGGGUAUGCGGUGCGGUGGAGUCGCCGGCGACGGUUCUGCAGUGCUGCACAGAACCUGCAACUGCAGGUGAGGUGGCUGCCCAGAAACCGCCAAGCCCGACCUCCUCCGACCUCGAACGCCGCCCAGAAGAGGUCUGGGACGCCUCCGGCCUCCCUCCGGCCAGCCCCGUGCCGCCGUCGUCACCUGGAACCAGCCUGCUGCGUCGAAGUCCGCACUUUAGCGAAGUGCGGACGUCCGC